UUCAUUUUAUUCUUAUUUCAGGUGAUCCGACAGACGACUUCUCUAUACAGUAUAGAUAUAUUAUAUGUUGUCAAUCCAGUCGCAUCUUGUCUUGGCCUUAACUGUUCAGUUCUGUGUUACAGGGCUGGUUCAUUGUGUAUUUAAGGGUAUCUGGGUCGAUCUACUUUUAUGUCAUUGUCUUUAGUUGUUUUAACAAUAGCCCAGGCUCAGCUUCUCAGUUGAUUGGUGUAAGUUCAAAUAUACUUCUCACCGCCAUGUUACUAAUCAGUUUUGCACCACACUGUCUCUACAUGAGGACUGUUCUAAAGAUUGAGUUUUGAUCUAAGGAUUAUUGCACGUGUUGGCUGCCCGGCUGCUGGGUGCUUGAGCACACUCCCGUGUCACCCACAGGAGUGUCUACUCCUACUACUUCUUCCUCUACGGAAUAAAGAUAUAGACCUCACAACCCGUAGCCUGUGGUUAUUACAGAGCACCACUAUUUCAUGGCUGCAACAAUGGAGCCCCCAGUGAGGAAUAUCUGAGCAACGCCAGAGCCAGUAGCCGAAGACAGUAUUCAACUGCUUGUGCAUGAGAGAUGGAUCUGAUGUUCCAUUUCUGAGUUCUGCCACAUCUGGGGUGAGAACAUUGAUAACGACUAUAUUCGUGUGUGCGUAACUAUGAUGACAGUCUUCCUGUGAAUUGUGACUUUCUGUGUUCAUGCCAUU
Long non-coding RNA from Haliotis rubra (blacklip abalone), 704 nucleotides. RefSeq lists it as uncharacterized. The transcript has 3 exons. Lineage: Eukaryota; Metazoa; Mollusca; Gastropoda; Lepetellida; Haliotidae. The record is from RefSeq and is a predicted model, not a curated record.